ACGUAUGGAGCAAGCGUUAUCCGGAUUUACUGGGUGUAAAGGGAGUGUAGGUGGCCAUGCAAGUCAGAAGUGAAAAUCCGGGGCUCAACCCCGGAACUGCUUUUGAAACUGUAAGGCUAGAGUGCAGGAGGGGUGAGUGGAAUUCCUAGUGUAGCGGUGAAAUGCGUAGAUAUUAGGAGGAACACCAGUGGCGAAGGCGGCUCACUGGACUGUAACUGACACUGAGGCUCGAAAGCGUGGGGAGCAAACAG
RNAcentral lists this ribosomal RNA (251 nucleotides) under uncultured bacterium. Its description in RNAcentral is "partial 16S ribosomal RNA". It matches the Rfam family "Bacterial small subunit ribosomal RNA", at positions 525 to 775 of the family's 1533-position model. The record is from RNAcentral.